AAUCUUUCUCGCUUUGAACUUUUCUCAUACAUUUGGGCUUCAUGGGCAGCUCUCAGUUCUCAAGUGAUUUAUUCUGAGCUAAAAGCUUUCCAGUACUAUUAAUGGUAGCUAUGGAUAUGGCGCACUCGCUUCUGCCUUCUGAUUCAUCUCUGUACCCGCUUCUCCUUCGAGCCCCGAAUUAUUCUUCAUUUAAAACUUUCAAAUUUGGUACUUAUUGUUCUUCUGGUCGUUCAAUUCAAGUGUAUGCCGCUAAAACCAAGAGAAAGCCCAGGCCUAGCUUCUCUGAACAAAUUCGUGAUAAAUGGUCUGUCAGAGUCCCUUCAACAAGAGAGAAAUUUCCAUGGGAAGAACAAAAACAGCAGCAACUGCAAGAACAAGACGAAGAGGAAGAAAUAGAAGCCUCUGGGGCGUUUUUCUCUGAAGCAGAAAUUGAUGCUAGCCCAUCAGUGAGCGAUGAUUCAGUGAGUUUUACUCUACCCAAUCGUUUAAUUACAGCUCCUUGGAUUCAUGGAUCAACACCCCAAAGGACCCACUUCUAUUCUCACCAUAAAAAUGGUGAAAAUGUUAAUGGGAUUUUCUACCAUCUCGAAGAAACUGCUGUAUAUGCUGUUGUUGAUAAAGCAAAAAGUUUGGAGACGGAAGCUAAUUACAAUAAAAUAUGCAAGGAAGGUGAUGAUGUAUUACACGUUGAUGACACAGAAAGCUUUGAAGAAGAAGCAAAUUAUAAUGACAAAUGUAAAGAAGAAACAGUUAUACUUGGUGCUGUUUCAGUUGAGUUACCAAGGGAUAAGGAAAUAGCAAGAGCUGAGGACUCAAACGAUGCUAUUUCUCAAAAUGAGAAACCUACCGGGGCCAAUCGAGAGAAUGGAAAUAUUCAGCUUUCUCGUGAUGAUAAUAGCAGUUCAAUUGAAUUGCCGUGGGAGAGAAAGAGGGAAGUGGAGUCCUUGGACGGAGAUUGGAGAAGGAAGAGGAGCAACACUGAUUUGGCGGAGAGAAUCUUGCCUGAACAUGAGUUGAAGAGGCUGAGGAAUGUUGCGUUGAGGAUGUUUGAGAGGAUUAAAGUUGGGGCUGCAGGCAUUACCCAGGAUUUGGUGGAUGCAGUUCAUGCGAAGUGGAGGCUGGAUGAGGUGGUGAAGUUGAAGUUCGAAGGGCCUCUUUCAUGUAACAUGAAAAGGACACAUGAGAUUUUGGAGACUAGAACUGGAGGUCUGGUUAUAUGGAGAUCAGGUAGCUCGGUGGUGUUGUACAGAGGAAUGGCCUACAAAUUUCAAUGUGUUCAAUCAUAUUCUAAACAAAAUGAGUCUGAGAAGGAUAUUUUAUCCCAUUCAGAAGAAGUGACGAGUAAUGCUGCAUGUAGUGUAGGAGUAAAGGACUUCACUGGAACUAGAGAGUCAGUUAUGCCUGAUUAUGCGAAGUAUUUGAAGCAUCUAUCUCAAGACGAACUCAUGGAUUUUAGUGAACUAGAUCAGUUGUUGGAUGAGCUGGGUCCAAGGUUUAAAGAUUGGUGCGGCCGUGAGCCAUUGCCUGUUGAUGCAGAUUUGCUUCCUGCAGUGGAUCCUGAAUAUAAACCUCCAUUUAGACUUCUUCCCUAUGGGGUACGACAUUAUUUGACAAACAAGGAGAUGACAGUUUUCCGUAGGCUUGCAAGAACAGUGCCUCCUCAUUUUGCACUAGGAAGGAACAGAGAAUUGCAAGGUCUUGCUAAAGCUAUAGUGAAGCUGUGGAAAAGAAGUGCUAUUGCAAAGAUAGCCAUAAAACGAGGUGUGCAGAAUACACGUAACGAAAGAAUGGCAGAAGAACUUAAGGUGAGACACAACAAAAGGUAGUGAUAAGUGAUUGCAGAGUCUAUUUUUGGGUUUUACCAUGUUUGAGAAUGAAGGGAGGAAACAGAUCUAUGUAGUCUAUCUCAACUAGUUAGGUAAGACACUUGACUUGAGUUGUCUAUUGUGCUUGAGAAUACGAAACUGGAGUUUAACAGAAUAUGGAGCAAAUUUAUGCAUGUUUUUUUAACUUGGUUUCCUACUUUGCAUGUAAAAAAUCAGUUAUCUGGAUCUCUUUUAUUUGCUAUAAACUACUGGUGUUUCUUUUUCAAAAGAAAACUGUUAUUACAGAGUCGUGGGCAUCCUAUUUUUCUUAAGUUCCACAUGCAGCCUUGCACACUGAGACAGUCAGGCCAGUGCCCCAUUGUAACCAUUGCCACAAAACUUCUAGCUGUCUGAUCACAAAAUUUCUUCUUCUCCUUCUUCAUUAAUUUUUUUCCUUGAUAAUAACAGUUGUACCUCUUGCACCCAGAUAUUGACAGGAGGAAUACUACUUUCUAGAAACAAGGAGUACAUUGUAUUUUAUAGGGGAAAUGACUUCUUGCCACCUGCUAUUAUGGAGACACUGAAAGAGAGGCGGAAACUAACUUAUCUUAAGCAAGACGAGGAAGAGCAAGCCCGGCAGAUGAACUUGCCUUUUAUUGAAUCAAAUGCUAAAAAUACUGAAGGCAUGGUUGCUGGAACUCUUGCUGAAACGAGGGCAGCAACCUCACAUUGGAUGAAUUAUCUGGGUGGUGAAGGUGUAGAGGAAAUGCUGAGAGAUGCAUCUUUAGCUAGACUUACUUCAUUAGUCAAACAUCUUCAGAAUAAACUUGCCCUUGCAAAAAUGAAACUCAAAAAGGCUGAUAAAGCUUUAGCAAAGGUACAAGAACAUCUGGAACCAGCAGGGCCCCCAACUGAUUUGGAAACCAUAAAUGAUGAGGAAAGGUUCUUGUUUCGCAAGAUUGGUCUGAGUAUGAAACCCUACAUCCUCCUAGGGAGGAGAGGGGUCUAUGAUGGUACCAUACAAAACAUGCACUUACAUUGGAAAUAUCGUGAAGUGGUAAAGAUAAUUGUGCAAGGAAAAAGCUUUGCACAGGUCAAGCAUUUUGCAAUUUCUUUGGAGGCUGAGAGUGGUGGAGUAUUGGUAUCUGUAGAUCGAACAACCAAAGGCUAUGCAAUCAUUAUCUAUCGUGGAAAAAAUUAUUUACGUCCUCAUGUAAUGAGGCCCGCAAAUUUAUUGACAAAACGGCAGGCAUUAGCCAGGUCAAUUGAACUUCAAAGACGAGAGGCACUGAAGCAUCAUAUCUCAGACCUACAGGAGAGGAUUCAAUUGAUGAAGCUUGAACUAGAAGAAAUGGAAUCUGGCAAAAAGAUUGAUGUAGAGAAAACCCUGAGCUCAAUGAGUGACACUAAAGUUUCUGAAAGUGAUGUUGAAGAGGAGGGGGAAGAGGCAUAUCUUGAAGAAUAUGACAGUAGCAAUGAGGAUACCUAUUAUCAAAACUAAAGCAUGCUAGAGAGAAGACCAACUGAUUUUAGAUUAAAUGUUGUGCAUGUUAGCUGUUGGGAAAGAUCAAUCAUUCAGACUUGCCAAGCAAUGGUCAAGAUGAUUGCUGAUAGCGUUGCAUGUCAUGCUCCUAGAGGCGUACCUUACAUCAUUUAUCAUCUACUUGAGAUUAUUGAAAAAAAUUUUGUAAUUCCAAAUGCGAUGGGGAUGUUAUAACAAGUAACCAUCAGCUUCUCUGCUUCUGUCAGACGAAAGGGUGACUUCCACCAGCAUUAUUUGAGUUGUGAAUGCUAGGAUAAGUGUAAUAUGUCAAUGUAAAUAAAGUGAUCCUGCAAUGUUUAUGCUUUUUGAUCCUUCUUCA
This 3667-nucleotide unclassified non-coding RNA is filed under the name Hevea brasiliensis (rubber tree). The record is from RNAcentral. Lineage: Eukaryota; Viridiplantae; Streptophyta; Magnoliopsida; Malpighiales; Euphorbiaceae.